RNAcentral lists this ribosomal RNA (462 nucleotides) under uncultured bacterium. Its description in RNAcentral is "partial 16S ribosomal RNA". It matches the Rfam family "Bacterial small subunit ribosomal RNA", at positions 28 to 507 of the family's 1533-position model. The record is from RNAcentral.
GACGAACGCUGGCGGCGUGCUUAACACAUGCAAGUCGAACGGAAAGGCCCUUCGGGGUACUCGAGUGGCGAACGGGUGAGUAACACGUGGGUGAUCUGCCCUGCACUUUGGGAUAAGCCUGGGAAACUGGGUCUAAUACCGAAUAGGACCACGCGCUUCAUGGUGUGUGGUGGAAAGCUUUUGCGGUGUGGGAUGGGCCCGCGGCCUAUGAGCUUGUUGGUGGGGUAAUGGCCUACCAAGGCGACGACGGGUAGCCGGCCUGAGAGGGUGACCGGCCACACUGGGACUGAGAUACGGCCCAGACUCCUACGGGAGGCAGCAGUGGGGAAUAUUGCACAAUGGGCGCAAGCCUGAUGCAGCGACGCCGCGUGAGGGAUGACGGCCUUCGGGUUGUAAACCUCUUUCAAUAGGGACGAAGCGCAAGUGACGGUACCUAUAGAAGAAGCACCGGCCAACUACGUG